AAGGUUUCCGUAGGUGAACCUGCGGAAGGAUCAUUACCGAGUGAGGGCCCUCUGGGUCCAACCUCCCACCCGUGUUUAUUUUACCUUGUUGCUUCGGCGGGCCCGCCUUAACUGGCCGCCGGGGGGCUCACGCCCCCGGGCCCGCGCCCGCCGAAGACACCCUCGAACUCUGUCUGAAGAUUGAAGUCUGAGUGAAAAUAUAAAUUAUUUAAAACUUUCAACAACGGAUCUCUUGGUUCCGGCAUCGAUGAAGAACGCAGCGAAAUGCGAUACGUAAUGUGAAUUGCAAAUUCAGUGAAUCAUCGAGUCUUUGAACGCACAUUGCGCCCCCUGGUAUUCCGGGGGGCAUGCCUGUCCGAGCGUCAUUGCUGCCCUCAAGCCCGGCUUGUGUGUUGGGCCCCGUCCUCCGAUCUCCGGGGGACGGGCCCGAAAGGCAGCGGCGGCACCGCGUCCGGUCCUCGAGCGUAUGGGGCUUUGUCACCCGCUCUGUAGGCCCGGCCGGCGCUUGCCGAUCAACCCAAAUUUUUAUCCAGGUUGACCUCGGAUCAGGUAGGGAUACCCGCUGAACUUAAGC
Molecule: ribosomal RNA, 574 nt
Filed under: Penicillium commune
Lineage: Eukaryota; Fungi; Ascomycota; Eurotiomycetes; Eurotiales; Aspergillaceae
Description: eukaryotic LSU rRNA
Rfam family: 5.8S ribosomal RNA (bases 213-365)
Source: RNAcentral